Molecule: transfer RNA, 75 nt
Filed under: Podarcis lilfordi (Lilford's wall lizard)
Lineage: Eukaryota; Metazoa; Chordata; Lepidosauria; Squamata; Lacertidae
Description: tRNA.Lys
Rfam family: tRNA
About the family: Transfer RNA (tRNA) molecules are approximately 80 nucleotides in length. Their secondary structure includes four short double-helical elements and three loops (D, anti-codon, and T loops).
Source: RNAcentral
AUCCAAAGCUAGCUCAGUUGGUAGAGCAUGAGACUCUUAAUCUUAGAGUUGGGGGUUCGAGCCCCAUAUUGGACA